This 497-nucleotide ribosomal RNA is filed under the name uncultured bacterium. Its description in RNAcentral is "bacterial SSU rRNA". It matches the Rfam family "Bacterial small subunit ribosomal RNA", at positions 1 to 499 of the family's 1533-position model. The record is from RNAcentral.
CCCUUAGAGUUUGAUCCUGGCUCAGGAUGAACGCUGGCGGCGUGCUUAACACAUGCAAGUCGAGCGAAGCACUUAAGUCUGAUUCUUCGGAUGAAGACUUUUGUGACUGAGCGGCGGACGGGUGAGUAACGCGUGGGUAACCUGCCUCAUACAGGGGGAUAACAGUUAGAAAUGACUGCUAAUACCGCAUAAGACCACGGUACCGCAUGGUACAGUGGUAAAAACUCCGGUGGUAUGAGAUGGACCCGCGUCUGAUUAGGUAGUUGGUGGGGUAACGGCCUACCAAGCCGACGAUCAGUAGCCGACCUGAGAGGGUGACCGGCCACAUUGGGACUGAGACACGGCCCAGACUCCUACGGGAGGCAGCAGUGGGGAAUAUUGCACAAUGGAGGAAACUCUGAUGCAGCGACGCCGCGUGAAGGAUGAAGUGUUUCGGUAUGUAAACUUCUAUCAGCAGGGAAGAAAAUAGACGGUACCUGACUAAGAAGCCCCGGCUA